AUGGGGAUAAAAUUCAAGGUCAAGCUAUACAGCGACAGGGCGGGAAGCAGCGGAGACGGCGACGCCGGACCCACACCGCCGCCUGCGCCAGGCCUCGCGCCGUCGCCCUCCCUCGAUCCAUCGGCGGUUUCCACCUCGCCGCCCCCGCUUCAGCCGGCACGGCAGCCGCCGCUGACCCCCAUCGUCAAGUACACGGAUGAAGGACCGGAUGUUGAUGACGAUUGGCCUGAGGACGAGGAUGAUGACUGGCCCGAGGACGAGGAUCAAGGACUGGAUGAUGAUGAUUGGCCUGAAGACGAAGAUGAUGAGGGUUGGGAGGUUAUGCAAGAGGAUGAGGAUGAAUUACCAGAUGAGGAGAAAUUCUACAUUUCAUUGUUUAUGAGCGCUCAAAAGAAGAAUCUCCCGCAUGAUCUUGUUCGGCAUGACUCGGUGCCGCUCAACAAAAAUGAAUAUUUUUCUCUGUGGGAAAAUUGGAAUCAGCUGCUGGAUGGCAAGAGAACAUACCUCCGACCACCGAAGGACUGCCGUAUUCUCAGUGUCAGUGGCGUUUUCCGGUGUCCGGAUGCUCGCCCAAGGACAUUAGGAUGCAAGGAACCACUCUUGGAUUUGGUUCAGGAUUAUCCAGAUAAUGACAUUUUCCAGGAAAUAAUCAAGAUUCUUUGUCAGCGCUAUUUGCACAUCAGACGAACUCGCGGAGAUGGCAACUAUUUCUACAGAGCUUUCUUUUUCUCCUACUUGGAAAAUCUUGGACAAAUGCAAGAUAGUCAAGCUGAAGUUACUCGCCUAAUGGAACAUGUGGCAGUGUCCAGAGAGAGUUUCUGUCGUCUGAAAUGGGACAAAGCAUACUUCUUAAAUCCUGAAGAAUACUUUUCAAGUGUUGCUUCUGAGUUGAAUCAUUUGGUCAAUUCUGUUGCAAAUGGUCUGAGUUCUGACGAGUUGUACAAGAGAAGUCUACAGGAGAUCAUGCCACUCAGGAUCAUUUCUUUGCUAAGAUUGCUGGCAGAGACAGAUCCGUACUCGAGAAGCUGA
RNAcentral lists this ribosomal RNA (1029 nucleotides) under Triticum aestivum (bread wheat). RNAcentral describes it as "partial small subunit ribosomal RNA". Lineage: Eukaryota; Viridiplantae; Streptophyta; Magnoliopsida; Poales; Poaceae. The record is from RNAcentral.